UAUUACAUAGUUAUUGUAAUUACUAUAAUAAGUACAUAGUAUGUUGUGCUAUCUAUAUAGUGCUACCAUCCACGCUGUGCCAUCAUUGCAACACAUGGCCCAGCUCUGGCUGAAUGGGUACAUGCCAUUGCUGACAGGAGGCCAGCAGUGAGGCCACAUUUGGGCCAAGACCGUUUGCUAUGUGGGUAGUGCUGUAUGGUUUGUCCAAAAAUCUGACUCACUUUUUUUUGGGGGGGGGGGAUUCUGGUAGUUUCACAGUUCAUUAAAUUUUAACCUGACUGUGUGUAUUAAUAAUGAUCCAAACAUGCUGCAUUCAAAACUACAUUAAAGGGGUUAUAUGAUGUUGCUAAAAAGGCAACAUUAUUUUGUGUACUUAGUGUAAAGAAAUGUGUUUAUGCAGUUAAAUGCUAAAAAACACAUUAUUUUCCGCUUACUGUACAUUAUUGUUGCUCCUCUAUGCCCCGCCUGAAAUGCGACGGUUUUUACAGAGCUCAUCAUUCUGAAAAGCACAGUGUGCUCUGAUUGGGCAGCUAUCCCAUGCAUUGUGAUUGGCCGGAUGCCUCAAGUGUGUGACAGAAAUGUUAUGCCCUUACCAUAUUGUGAUGGCGUGUCCUGGUACGACGAGAUAAAACCAAUAAAACCCAUUACACAUGAGGCAUUAGUUGCACUCAGUGGGGACACAAUUAUUACACUGAUUAUAAUGACUUAUACUGCGUUUUACUUCAUCGCAUUGCACCGUGCCGCACAAACAUAAACACAAGCCACUAUUCUAUACUGCUCAAAAAUCAUGUUUGAAUCAUUAGUUGCAAAUUCUAUAAAUAUGAAAACGUACUUACAGACUGUGAGUCAGAACAGCAGGCAUUGUAGGCUAACCUCCCAGGUUCAGGAAACAGUCCUUAGUAAAACGCGCUGCACACACUUGAAUAUUUUGUUGAACUGUUCUGGAACAGUGUAGUAAAUACAACUUAAUCACUGAUUUCUAGUUGUGUCCUCUUUUGAAAGACCAAACAAAGUAGUUUCGCUUUCACAACGAAACACAUUGUCUCCACGACAAUACUACAAAGAGAAUCAAAGUAACGCCUUCUUUCUUUGCGUAAACAUUUGGGCAGUGUUAUGCAAAUCUUUUCAACAAACAUUCCCAAAACCUGUUGCGAUUAGGGCCACAACAUCACCUCCAUUCAAAAUGUAAAACUAACACUCUGCGAAUAGCAUCCCGUGUCUCCAUGUCCACUGUCGUUUUCGAUUUCCCUAACCUAAACUAUGAUCUUACUUUCGGUGCUUAGCGUCUAUGUCACGGCUCUCAGCCCGCCCUCUGUUUCGUUGAUUGGCCGGCUGUUUUGAGGCUGGAGGAAAACUGAGAGAUAGGUCGCUAUCUCAGACUGAGUACAGAAGCGAACUGAAAUUGAGCAUAAGUACAAAAAAAUGGUUGUAAUUUGUUCAACCCUUUGAAAAGUCUGUACUUUAAUUUAAUCUUGAUUGUCUCAUUUUAAUUCUAUUCUGGUGGCAUACAGAGGCAAAAUUAUGAAAAUUCUUUCAGAGUCCAAAUAUAUACGGACUUAACUGUAAAUUGAUGUCAGAUGCUGUCAGAAUGAGUCAACACAGCAGAUAAAAGCAUGCUUCACAAAACAUUAAUUGAUAAACUGGAGUUAUGUGUAUUACUUGUGGAUUAAUGUGAUGCUCUUAUCAGCUGUUGGAACUCUCAUUCUGACUGCACCCAUUUACUGGAGAUCGACUGGUGAGCAAUGCAGAGCAAAAGCAAUGUAAUGCUAAAUUUCUUUAAAUCUGAAGAUACAAAGAAGAAACACAUCUCCACAUCUUGGAUGGACUAGGAGUGAGUAUAAUUUAUUUAAUUUGUGUCAUCUUGAAUCUAAAUGGAAAUAGCUCAGUUAAUUUUACAUUGUAACUUUAAGUCUUGUAAUGCAUAGAACUAUUAACUGGAUUUAGCAAUUCACAUUCUACAUCAAAUGCAGUGAUUUAAGUUUCCUGUCACUUUCUUUCAUAGUGAGGGCACCAGGCUGUUUACGUAUAGUCACAUGGCUUAUCUUAAAGACAAAAUAAAGCUUCAGUGUCAAAAGAGGUCAAAAGAAUGAUGAAAGAAGAUUGAAUAAAACCAUACGAUCAGCACAUGUCAGUGAAGUUCCAUUGUUCCAUUGAUACAUUUGUCAGUGACACACCUUGAGCAAUUUUAAGAUCAGUAUUGGGGAAGAAAAAAAGAAAGAAAAAAAGAAGGGGAAAAACAAGGAGAACAAAGUGACUGAACAGAGAGGGGGGGGCUAGAGGAAGAGAGUGACUAAACUCUCUGAAAAAGCAAAAUGGGAAGUCUGCAAAUAAAAGGAGAGGAGAAGAAAUGCUACAAACCACAUGUUGCUGUUUGGAGCCAUAAUCCAGCUAUGCAGCGAGACAGAAUCACUGCACCAUCCAAUGUCCAGCGUUUGGCAAUGUCCCAGGCUAGCAGAUGGUAUUAUGAGCUGGGCUCAUCUCAUCCAACAACAAUGGCAAAGCUAUUGAAGGCUCUCCCAGUCCUGUCACGGCUCGGUUUGGGCUGAGGAGGCCAGAUAUCUUGAGCCACGGAAAGACCCAUGAAACGCAGAAGCACUCAGUCACCUUCAACAAGACACUGGAGACCAUUGACCCCAUUAAACAUGCAGCAUCUAUCACCAUUCCCC
Molecule: long non-coding RNA, 2666 nt
Organism: Carassius gibelio (silver crucian carp)
Lineage: Eukaryota; Metazoa; Chordata; Actinopteri; Cypriniformes; Cyprinidae
Exons: 3
Source: RefSeq, a predicted model, not a curated record